RNAcentral lists this ribosomal RNA (1490 nucleotides) under Klebsiella pneumoniae. RNAcentral's name for it is "bacterial SSU rRNA". It matches the Rfam family "Bacterial small subunit ribosomal RNA". The record is from RNAcentral. Lineage: Bacteria; Pseudomonadati; Pseudomonadota; Gammaproteobacteria; Enterobacterales; Enterobacteriaceae.
AACGCUGGCGGCAGGCCUAACACAUGCAAGUCGAGCGGUAGCACAGAGAGCUUGCUCUCGGGUGACGAGCGGCGGACGGGUGAGUAAUGUCUGGGAAACUGCCUGAUGGAGGGGGAUAACUACUGGAAACGGUAGCUAAUACCGCAUAAUGUCGCAAGACCAAAGUGGGGGACCUUCGGGCCUCAUGCCAUCAGAUGUGCCCAGAUGGGAUUAGCUAGUAGGUGGGGUAACGGCUCACCUAGGCGACGAUCCCUAGCUGGUCUGAGAGGAUGACCAGCCACACUGGAACUGAGACACGGUCCAGACUCCUACGGGAGGCAGCAGUGGGGAAUAUUGCACAAUGGGCGCAAGCCUGAUGCAGCCAUGCCGCGUGUGUGAAGAAGGCCUUCGGGUUGUAAAGCACUUUCAGCGGGGAGGAAGGCGUUAAGGUUAAUAACCUUGGCGAUUGACGUUACCCGCAGAAGAAGCACCGGCUAACUCCGUGCCAGCAGCCGCGGUAAUACGGAGGGUGCAAGCGUUAAUCGGAAUUACUGGGCGUAAAGCGCACGCAGGCGGUCUGUCAAGUCGGAUGUGAAAUCCCCGGGCUCAACCUGGGAACUGCAUUCGAAACUGGCAGGCUAGAGUCUUGUAGAGGGGGGUAGAAUUCCAGGUGUAGCGGUGAAAUGCGUAGAGAUCUGGAGGAAUACCGGUGGCGAAGGCGGCCCCCUGGACAAAGACUGACGCUCAGGUGCGAAAGCGUGGGGAGCAAACAGGAUUAGAUACCCUGGUAGUCCACGCCGUAAACGAUGUCGAUUUGGAGGUUGUGCCCUUGAGGCGUGGCUUCCGGAGCUAACGCGUUAAAUCGACCGCCUGGGGAGUACGGCCGCAAGGUUAAAACUCAAAUGAAUUGACGGGGGCCCGCACAAGCGGUGGAGCAUGUGGUUUAAUUCGAUGCAACGCGAAGAACCUUACCUGGUCUUGACAUCCACAGAACUUUCCAGAGAUGGAUUGGUGCCUUCGGGAACUGUGAGACAGGUGCUGCAUGGCUGUCGUCAGCUCGUGUUGUGAAAUGUUGGGUUAAGUCCCGCAACGAGCGCAACCCUUAUCCUUUGUUGCCAGCGGUUCGGCCGGGAACUCAAAGGAGACUGCCAGUGAUAAACUGGAGGAAGGUGGGGAUGACGUCAAGUCAUCAUGGCCCUUACGACCAGGGCUACACACGUGCUACAAUGGCAUAUACAAAGAGAAGCGACCUCGCGAGAGCAAGCGGACCUCAUAAAGUAUGUCGUAGUCCGGAUUGGAGUCUGCAACUCGACUCCAUGAAGUCGGAAUCGCUAGUAAUCGUAGAUCAGAAUGCUACGGUGAAUACGUUCCCGGGCCUUGUACACACCGCCCGUCACACCAUGGGGAGUGGGUUGCAAAAGAAGUAGGUAGCUUAACCUUCGGGAGGGCGCUUACCACUUUGUGAUUCAUGACUGGGGGUGAAGUCGUAACAAGGUAACCGUAGGGGACCU